AGGUUACUGCUAUCGGUGUUCGUCUAAGCCAUGCGAGUCAUAUGUUCGUAAGAACAUGGCGUACUGCUCAGUAACACGUGGAUAACCUGCCCUUGGGUCCGGCAUAACCCGGGAAACUGGGGAUAAUUCCGGAUAACGCACAUAUGCUGGAAUGCUUUAUGCGUAAAAUGGAUUCGUCUGCCCAAGGAUGGGUCUGCGGCCUAUCAGGUAGUAGUGGGUGUAAUGUACCUACUAGCCUACGACGGGUACGGGUUGUGAGAGCAAGAGCCCGGAGAUGGAUUCUGAGACAUGAAUCCAGGCCCUACGGGGCGCAGCAGGCGCGAAAACUUUACAAUGCGGGAAACCGUGAUAAGGGGACACCGAGUGCCAGCAUCCUAUGCUGGCUGUCCGGGUGUGUAAAAUACACCUGUUAGCAAGGGCCGGGCAAGACCGGUGCCAGCCGCCGCGGUAACACCGGCGGCCCGAGUGGUGAUCGUGAUUAUUGGGUCUAAAGGGUCCGUAGCCGGUUUGGUCAGUCCUCCGGGAAAUCUGACAGCUUAACUGUUAGGCUUUCGGAGGAUACUGCCAGACUUGGAACCGGGAGAGGUAAGAGGUACUACAGGGGUAGGAGUGAAAUCUUGUAAUCCCUGUGGGACCACCUGUGGCGAAGGCGUCUUACCAGAACGGGUUCGACGGUGAGGGACGAAAGCUGGGGGCACGAACCGGAUUAGAUACCCGGGUAGUCCCAGCCGUAAACGAUGCUCGCUAGGUGUCAGGCAUGGCGCGACCGUGUCUGGUGCCGCAGGGAAGCCGUGAAGCGAGCCACCUGGGAAGUACGGCCGCAAGGCUGAAACUUAA
Molecule: ribosomal RNA, 837 nt
Filed under: uncultured archaeon
Lineage: Archaea
Description: bacterial SSU rRNA
Rfam family: Archaeal small subunit ribosomal RNA
Source: RNAcentral